This 493-nucleotide ribosomal RNA is filed under the name uncultured bacterium. RNAcentral describes it as "partial 16S ribosomal RNA". It matches the Rfam family "Bacterial small subunit ribosomal RNA", at positions 30 to 523 of the family's 1533-position model. The record is from RNAcentral.
AUUGAACGCUGGCGGCAUGCUUUACACAUGCAAGUCGAACGGUAACAGGUUAAGCUGACGAGUGGCGAACGGGUGAGUAAUGCAUCGGAACGUGCCCGGUCGUGGGGGAUAACGCAGCGAAAGCUGCGCUAAUACCGCAUACGAUCUAAGGAUGAAAGCGGGGGACCGUAAGGCCUCGCCCGAUCGGAGCGGCCGAUGUCAGAUUAGGUAGUUGGUGGGGUAAAGGCUCACCAAGCCAACGAUCUGUAGCUGGUCUGAGAGGACGACCAGCCACACUGGGACUGAGACACGGCCCAGACUACCACGGGAGGCAGCAGUGGGGAAUUUUGGACAAUGGGCGAAAGCCUGAUCCAGCAAUGCCGCGUGCAGGAAGAAGGCCUUCGGGUUGUAAACUGCUUUUGUACGGAGCGAAAAGGUCUCCUCUAAUACAGGGGGCUCAUGACGGUACCGUAAGAAUAAGCACCGGCUAACUACGUGCCAGCCGCCGCAGUAA